UUGUUUUGCCACCUUGUGGCCCUUGCCUGCCGAAAGGUUGCCGACCGCUGCUAUAAAAUAUAAUUUAUAUU
Molecule: long non-coding RNA, 71 nt
Organism: Aricia agestis (brown argus)
Lineage: Eukaryota; Metazoa; Arthropoda; Insecta; Lepidoptera; Lycaenidae
Exons: 4
Source: RefSeq, a predicted model, not a curated record